This 61-nucleotide microRNA precursor is filed under the name Aedes aegypti (yellow fever mosquito). RNAcentral describes it as "Aae-Mir-2796_pre stem-loop". Lineage: Eukaryota; Metazoa; Arthropoda; Insecta; Diptera; Culicidae. The record is from RNAcentral.
AAGGGGUUUCUUUCGGCCUCCAGCGGCAUUAGAAAGUUGUAGGCCGGCGGAAACUACUUGC